GGAGGCUUAGCUCAGCUGGGAGAGCAUUUGCACCACAUGCAAGGGGUCGCAGGUUCGAGCCCUGUAGCCUCCA
This 73-nucleotide transfer RNA is filed under the name Schleiferilactobacillus harbinensis. Its description in RNAcentral is "tRNA-Val". It matches the Rfam family "tRNA". From Rfam's summary of the family: Transfer RNA (tRNA) molecules are approximately 80 nucleotides in length. Their secondary structure includes four short double-helical elements and three loops (D, anti-codon, and T loops). The record is from RNAcentral. Lineage: Bacteria; Bacillati; Bacillota; Bacilli; Lactobacillales; Lactobacillaceae.